This 242-nucleotide ribosomal RNA is filed under the name uncultured Actinomycetales bacterium. RNAcentral's name for it is "partial 16S ribosomal RNA". It matches the Rfam family "Bacterial small subunit ribosomal RNA", at positions 89 to 334 of the family's 1533-position model. Lineage: Bacteria; Bacillati; Actinomycetota; Actinomycetes; Actinomycetales. The record is from RNAcentral.
ACUCGAGUGGCGAACGGGUGAGUAACACGUGGGUGAUCUGCCCUGCACUUCGGGAUAAGCCUGGGAAACUGGGUCUAAUACCGGAUAGGAACCGUCUUUAGUGUGGUGGUUGGAAAGUUUUUUCGGUGCAAGAUGAGCUCGCGGCCUAUCAGCUUGUUGGUGGGGUAAUGGCCUACCAAGGCGUCGACGGGUAGCCGGCCUGAGAGGGUGUACGGCCACAUUGGGACUGAGAUACGGCCCAG